This 130-nucleotide ribosomal RNA is filed under the name Microtus ochrogaster (prairie vole). The record is from RNAcentral. Lineage: Eukaryota; Metazoa; Chordata; Mammalia; Rodentia; Cricetidae.
GGCCAUACCACCCUGAACGCGCCCGAUCUCGUCUGAUCUCGGAAGCUAAGCAGGGUCGGGUCUGGUUAGUACUUGGAUGGGAGAAAGAUGGCUCAGCCAGUAAAGGUACCUCUGGCCAAGCCUGACCACC